RNAcentral lists this long non-coding RNA (983 nucleotides) under Pan troglodytes (chimpanzee). RNAcentral's name for it is "long non-coding RNA NONPTRT001181". The record is from RNAcentral. Lineage: Eukaryota; Metazoa; Chordata; Mammalia; Primates; Hominidae.
CAGGGCUAUAGGGAUGAAGACUGGCUUUGCAGAGUGAGUAAUCACAGGUGGACAAGACAGAAGAGGUGUUCUUAAGCAGAGGAAACAGUAAAUUGUAAAUGUCUUUCAUAGGAGAUGGUGCCUCAUGAGCUAAAUUCUGAAGGAUGAGUAAGACUAGGUGGACAAGAUAGGAAAGAACAAUUCUGGCAGAGGAAGAAAAGCAAAGCAAACUACUAAGCUUCAUUACAGAUUUCAUAAGCUCCAGAAGGUCAGGGGCCGUGUGCUGCUCAACUUGGUAAUCCUGACUCUAGCACAAAGCCUGGCCAAGGGUACGAUAUUGGAAUGAAUGAUGGGAGGGUUUCUGGCUGCAAAACUAUAAUAUGCAUUGACUUUGACGAUGUAUGAGCCAAGGAAAGAACACUGGAAGUCCAAGCAGGAAUACAAUCUUCACAUGCCCUGUGCUGCUUCUCUACGCAGAGGCCAUUAUCUGGGUCCAGCACACAGCUGCAGGAGGGAUAGGCAGACUCAAAGCAGUGAUGGAGGAAGGAGACCACCACAGAAUCAAGAGUCAGUCGGACUACGUUCUUGACACUGAAAAAUUCAUUGAACAUAGAAAACCACAAUCUAGGAUUGAGAACACAGGUCCUAGAACAGAGCUUCCACUUUCAGUGUUAAAUCACCCACAGAGCUUGUUAAAACACAGAGUCCUGAACAUCACCCAAAAGGUUUUGAGUCAGUCUAGAGUGCACCCAAGAAUUUGCCUUUUGAACAAGCUCCCAGGUAUUGUUUAUGCUGCUGGUCUGCAGUUCACACUUUGCGAAUAGAUAAAGUCAGGUGCCCUGGCCUCAGUAUUGUCUUCACCACUUACAUUAUGCUAAACAAAUAAAUGAACUCAGUUGACUCCUCUGCGAAGUGGGGUAAUAAUAGUUCCUGCCUCAUAAUGCUGCUUUGAUGAUUAAGUGAGAGAAGCCAUGUAAAGUUCCUGUCAAAACACUCAAAAAUUU